UGNCUCGCACCUCGAAUUGUAGUCUGGAGAAGGUCCCUCUGCGACGCGCCGGACCCAAGUUCCCUGGAAAGGGACGUCAUCGAGGGUGACAACCCCGUCCGCGCCCGGAACGCGUCGCUCCACGAGGACCUGUCUGCGAGUCGGGCUGUUUGGGAAUGCAGCCCUAAUCGGGAGGUAAAUUCCUUCCAAGGCUAAAUAUGGGCAAGAGACCGAUAGCGAACAAGUACCGCGAGGGAAAGAUGAAAAGGACUUUGAAAAGAGAGUUAAAAAGUGCUUGAAAUUGCUGGGAGGGAAGCGAAUGGAAGCUGCGGGUGCGGCCCGGUUGGAUGUGGAACGGCUUCGGCUGGUCCGCCGCUCAACGCGGGGCGCUGGUCAGCGUGGGCCAUGGCGCCGGGACAAGAGCAGGGAUUCGCUUCCUGCCUAUGCCGGUGCGGUGGCCGAGGAACGAAGCGCGCGCCUUCUGGCGUGGGUUCGCCCAACUGCGCGCUCGGGACGCUGGCGUAUUGAGCUCUUCAUCCGACCCGUCUUGAAANANGGACCAANGAGUCUAANAUGUAUG
Molecule: ribosomal RNA, 559 nt
Filed under: Roaldia revoluta
Lineage: Eukaryota; Viridiplantae; Streptophyta; Bryopsida; Hypnales; Pylaisiaceae
Description: partial 26S ribosomal RNA
Rfam family: Eukaryotic large subunit ribosomal RNA
Source: RNAcentral